GACAAUACCUAUACACAACCUGAAAACAUCAUGACAAUAAUCUUUCCGUUCUAACUCAAUGACUUUGCUUGGAACGUUAAGACUAGGUUUAUAUAGCUGAUAUUGUAUCCUUCUAGUUCGAUCAUCUCUGAAUGUGUUGGAGGUCAUCACUUCCCUUGAUUCCGUCACAUCCAGUCUACAGAGCGCUAAUAAGUACAAAAUUAAAAGUUAAUACAUACACAAUGUAGUCACCAAGAAUCACCAUAACCUUGAGUAAGGUGCUAAUCAAGUGAGGCUAAUGAAGCAUUUUUAAAAUACCCAUUAUAAUUCUUUGAUUCUGCCUCUGGUCCCAUUUACUAAUAUGAGAUAAUUUCUCAAAUUAUAAGAGAACCUAAUAGCAAACAAACUUUUGAUGCCAACAGUAAGGCAGGGGCACACUUUGAUUCCUGCUUAACAAGUAAUAAAUUCCUAAGCAGGUUCAGAGAAAGUGAGAAACCAAAUCCUCACCAGCAUCAUGAUAACAAAGAGCGAACAUACACAAGAUAGAAGGUUCAGAGAAACCAAAUCCUCACGAACACCAAGAUAAAAGGUAUGGGACACAAUAAAAUAAUUAUCCAUGUAUAACAGUGCAGCAGAAUUUUAGUGACAAAAAAAUAAUCAUUUUGCUAAAUUAGUUGAAGCAUAUCUAAAACAUAUAAACCUUUCUUCUUGGACAUGCCAGAAUGGAGCAAAUUGAAGGAAAAUUGUUCUCCACGAGUAACUUGUUAAGCUCAGUUGCUAUGUUCACACUUUUGGCAAAAAAUAACAACUUGAUUGAAGUCCAUUGCAAACACAUGGAUUCUUUCCCUUGUUCAGCAAAUACAUCCUUUCUCUUGUUCAAACUGGCAGAUAAUAAUAUUCAUAUACCAAAAACCGCAUGCACCAGAUGAAUACAUAAAUGGCAACGACAUGAGUUAGCCUUAACAUUCUCAAAUCCAAGGGACAAAAAGAUGAAAGAAAAUAAAAUAAAAGGAGGAAAUUAUGAGGUUAAUAUAUUAAAUUUGUUACACAACACUAAUUAAAUCUAUGGGAGGGUUUUUACCUAGACCCACCGAAAACUGAGGGAGAGCAACUCACAGCGGCUCGAAACAACGAUGAGACCAUUGGCGGCUGAAAUUAAAUCGAUUGGCUCCACAGCAGCUUUAAAAUGGUCGACGGCAUCGCUAAGGUUGCUCCCUGCUAGUCCAAUGCGAAGCGGUAGGUAGAGAGGAAGUAUUGCGGCGACUCAAGGGAGCUGGGUCCGAUCUAUUGUGAGAGUUGGAAGCGUGGAGUUGGGUGUUGCGCGAGUGAGCUCUAUGGUGAAGCUGUGCUGCUGGAUUCAAUAAAGGGCACUGGUGUCUGCCUAUGGAGGUCGAAUUAUUCAGGUGGUUUGCAGGUGGUUCACAAGUUGAAAAUCGUGAGAUAGGCAGAAAGCAAAAUUAGGGAUUUUGAUUAUAAAAGAGAUUUGAAAUUUUUGAAGUAUAAUGAAAAGAUAAUCUGUGGGUUUUGAUUCUCAGUAGGGCCAUGGAAGUUACCAAUUUCGUUUGCCAAGCAUGCGGAAAUGAGAGAAGAAAUUUGCGAAAAUAAAAGGAGACGCAGAGUGAAAAGAAAUUUGGGAAGUGAAAGUGAAAUAGAUAGAUAAGUUAUUAAUAAGUAGCACUCAGAAUUUUCAC
This 1670-nucleotide long non-coding RNA is filed under the name Manihot esculenta (cassava). Its description in RNAcentral is "long non-coding RNA (MESC_LNC007061)". Lineage: Eukaryota; Viridiplantae; Streptophyta; Magnoliopsida; Malpighiales; Euphorbiaceae. The record is from RNAcentral.